CCUACGGGUGGCAGCAGUGAGGAAUAUUGGUCAAUGGGCGCAAGCCUGAACCAGCCAAGUCGCGUGAGGGAAGACGGCCCUACGGGUUGUAAACCUCUUUUGCCGGGGAGCAAGCCUGAGCACGUGUGCCCAGGCGGAGAGUACCCGGAGAAAAAGCCUCGGCUAACUCCGUGCCAGCAGCCGCGGUAAUACGGAGGAUGCGAGCGUUCUCCGGAUUUAUUGGGUGUAAAGGGAGCGUAGACGGCCAUGCAAGCCAGGGGUGAAAGACCGGGGCCCAACCCCGGGACUGCCCUUGGAACUGCAGGGCUGGAGUGCGGGAGGGGCAGGCGGAAUUCCUGGUGUAGCGGUGAAAUGCGUAGAUAUCAGGAGGAACACCGGCGGCGAAGGCGGCCUGCUGGACCGCGACUGACGUUGAGGCUCGAAAGCGUGGGGAGCGAACAGGAUUAGAUACCCGUGUAGUC
This 461-nucleotide ribosomal RNA is filed under the name uncultured bacterium. Its description in RNAcentral is "partial 16S ribosomal RNA". It matches the Rfam family "Bacterial small subunit ribosomal RNA", at positions 338 to 795 of the family's 1533-position model. The record is from RNAcentral.